This 440-nucleotide ribosomal RNA is filed under the name uncultured bacterium. RNAcentral's name for it is "partial 16S ribosomal RNA". It matches the Rfam family "Bacterial small subunit ribosomal RNA", at positions 338 to 795 of the family's 1533-position model. The record is from RNAcentral.
CCUACGUGCGGCAGCAGUGGGGAAUAUUGCACAAUGGGGGAAACCCUGAUGCAGCGACGCCGCGUGAGUGAAGAAGUAUUUCGGUAUGUAAAGCUCUAUCAGCAGGGAAGAAAAUGACGGUACCUGAUUAAGAAGCCCCGGCUAACUACGUGCCAGCAGCCGCGGUACUACGUAGGGGGCAAGCGUUAUCCGGAUUUACUGGGUGUAAAGGGGGCGUAGACGGCAGCGCAAGUCUGAAGUGAAAUGCCGGGGCUUAACCCCGGAACUGCUUUGGAAACUGUGCAGCUAGAGUGCAGGAGAGGUAAGUGGAAUUCCUAGUGUAGCGGUGAAAUGCGUAGAUAUUAGGAGGAACACCAGUGGCGAAGGCGGCUUACUAAACUAUAACUGACACUGAAGCACGAAAGCGUGGGGAUCAAACAGGAUUAGAUACCCUAGUAGUC